Molecule: ribosomal RNA, 542 nt
Filed under: Vairimorpha ceranae
Lineage: Eukaryota; Fungi; Microsporidia; Nosematidae
Description: Nosema ceranae partial small subunit ribosomal RNA
Rfam family: Microsporidia small subunit ribosomal RNA
Source: RNAcentral
CCAGGUUGAUUCUGCCUGACGUAGACGCUAUUCCCUAAGAUUAACCCAUGCAUGUUUUUGACAUUUGAAAAAUGGACUGCUCAGUAAUACUCACUUUAUUUUAUGUAAAUUUUUGAUUAGUUAACUACGUUAAAGUGUAGAUAAGAUGUUUACAGUAAGAGUGAGACCUAUCUGCUAGUUGUUAAGGUAAUGGCUUAACAAGGCUGUGGCGGGUAACGGUAUUACUUUGUAAUAUUCCGGAGAAGGAGCCUGAGAGACGGCUACUAAGUCUAAGGAUUGCAGCAGGGGCGAAACUUGACCUAUGGAUUUUAUCUGAGGCAGUUAUGGGAAGUAAUAUUAUAUUGUUUCAUAUUUUAAAAGUAUAUGAGGUGAUCAAUUGGAGGGCAGAUCAAGUGCCAGCAGCCGCGGUAAUACUUGUUCCAAGAGUGUGUAUGAUGAUUGAUGCAGUUAAAAAGUCCGUAGUUUAUUUUUUAAGAAGCAGUAUGAGGUGUACUGUAUAGUUGGGAGAAAGAUGAAAUGUGACGACCCUGACUGGACGAACA